Molecule: ribosomal RNA, 775 nt
Filed under: uncultured Neocallimastigales
Lineage: Eukaryota; Fungi; Neocallimastigomycota; Neocallimastigomycetes; Neocallimastigales
Description: partial large subunit ribosomal RNA
Rfam family: Eukaryotic large subunit ribosomal RNA
Source: RNAcentral
CGAGCACGCGCGUGUGGCAUAUCAAUAAGCGGAGGAAAAGAAACUAACAAGGAUUCCCUUAGUAACGGCGAGUGAAGCGGGAAGAGCUCAAAUUUGAAAUCUUCAAGGUUCUACCUUGACGAAUUGUAGUUUAUAGAAGUGUUUUCUGUUAGUAGAGUGGCAAAAGUUCUUUGGAAUAGGACAUCAUAGAGGGUGAGAAUCCCGUAUUUGGUCAUUCCUCCUAGCGUUGUGAUACACUUUCAACGAGUCGGAUUGUUUGGGAAUGCAGUCCAAAAUGGGUGGUAAAUUUCAUCUAAAGCUAAAUAUUGGCGAGAGACCGAUAGCGAACAAGUACCGUGAGGGAAAGAUGAAAAGAACUUUGAAAAGAGAGUUAAACAGUACGUGAAAUUGUCAAAAGGGAAGCGUUUGACACCAGUGUUGUUUUUCCGAAAAUCAAUUACGAAUGUUUUGUUUUUAAGAGUUAUGACUUCAUCGGCUUGCUUCUUUCUUUACGAAACUUUCUUAAUGCACUUUUCGGUUAACAAGUCAACAUCAAUUUCUUUUGCUGUAAAAGGGUAUGAGGAAGGUGGCUUUAUUUUCGGCUGAAAGUGUUUAUAGCCUUGUAGCCUCUGCAAUCGGAGAGAUUGAGGUCUGCAGCGUAGAUCCUUCGGGGUUAGAUACAGUUUGUGCUAAGUUAUAGCUUUUCAUAGACAACAUGUUGACUAUGUUAGUCAUGUAGCUUACUCGCUGACUGCUAUUUUACCUACGCUUAGGAUGUUGAUGUGAUACUGCGAGC